Molecule: non-coding RNA, 206 nt
Organism: Oryza barthii
Lineage: Eukaryota; Viridiplantae; Streptophyta; Magnoliopsida; Poales; Poaceae
Source: Rfam
AAUAAGUACAGCCAUGAGUUUCCGUGUCCAACUUUAAUCAUCCAUCUUAUUUGAAAUUUUUGUAUGGUUAGUAUUUUUAUUGUUAUUAGAUUAUAAAACAUGAAUAGUAUUUUAUGCAUGACUUGUGUUUUUUAGUUUUUUUUUAAAAAAAAUCAAAUAAGACGAACAAUUAAAGUUGGACACGGAAACUCAUGGCUGCGCUUAUU